RNAcentral lists this ribosomal RNA (253 nucleotides) under uncultured bacterium. RNAcentral's name for it is "partial 16S ribosomal RNA". It matches the Rfam family "Bacterial small subunit ribosomal RNA", at positions 524 to 776 of the family's 1533-position model. The record is from RNAcentral.
UACGAAGGGGGCUAGCGUUGCUCGGAAUCACUGGGCGUAAAGGGUGCGUAGGCGGGUCUUUAAGUCAGGGGUGAAAUCCUGGAGCUCAACUCCAGAACUGCCUUUGAUACUGAGGAUCUUGAGUUCGGGAGAGGUGAGUGGAACUGCGAGUGUAGAGGUGAAAUUCGUAGAUAUUGGGAAGAACACCGGUGGCGAAGGCGGCUCUCUGGACCGGUAUUGACGCUGAGGUGCGAAAGCGUGGGGAGCAAACAGG